Molecule: long non-coding RNA, 2425 nt
Filed under: Homo sapiens (human)
Lineage: Eukaryota; Metazoa; Chordata; Mammalia; Primates; Hominidae
Description: HSALNT0140445
Source: RNAcentral
GGUAAAUAAAGUACAAAAGAUAACUGAAAAACAGUUGUGAAGACCUUUUGCUGCCAAACCUUCAAAUAAUACAAAGUAUUUCCUUUAUCACCAUCCACUUCCCUCUUAUUUUUUAUUUUAGUUAGUUCUCUUUAUACCUAGUAAUUGACAUUUAUAAUAACAUAAGAUCUGACUAAAAUGUAUGCUACUAUAUAAUUUUAAUACCAUAUGCUUAUUAAGUAUUAGAGCAGUUCAGUUAUGAAGCUGGUGUUUUAGCAAUUCCAACUGAUGUUUAAACAGGAGAACGUUUUUUAAACAGGAAUUAUGUUCCACACUGUAUGCUACUUGUAUUCUCUAAACAUAAAGGAGUUACUUGGUAGUAAUGACACUCCUGCCACUGAUGAUAACACCAUAUAUUUGCAUAGAGCGUUCUAGUUUACAAAUAUUGACUUGCCCAGUGUUGCUCACAGGUCAGACUCUUUAGACACAGAUCUGAUUCUAAGGCUACAAGGUUAUAGCUCAUUUAAGGUUUUUUUGCUAUUGCCCACUGAACUGUGCUGUUCUUGCCGGAAUCAAUCAUUUCCUUCACAGAUAAACCGUGCAGGUAACCUCUAUAAGCAUGAUGGAAACCUAUGACAAGGAAGAUCAUGAACAAAGAGUAUGAGUGAAGAUGUGCAUGUUGAUCUAAGCAGGGGGUGAGGUAAUCAGUAGGUGUGGAAAAGAUGGAAACCAGGCAAGUUUUUAAUAAAUAUGAUCUUAUCAUUUUGUUAAUUAUAACAAAAUAAGCAAUGUAGAGAGAACUGGGCUGAAUAAGAACAAGGCAGAAAAUACUCAAGCAUGGAUUAUAUUAGUAGGCAGUAGUCAAAUACACAUUUUCCUUCAUCCCUGCUCUCCUAAGAUAACCCAGAAAGGAGUGGUCAUAUACUUUGGAGGAUAGCCAUAUAGAUACUUAUCAGUGGCCUGUGAUUCUUUCCUCCAGCCCCAUUCUUCCUAGAUGAUUGGAAAAACACUUAAGGGAGCAUUAAGAGGCUCUGAUUGCUACUCAGUGAUAUACGUCAGUCUGAGAGGACAGGGCCUAGGUAAAAAAGACUUGUAACGAUGAUUCACAAUGACCCUUACUGUCACUUCAUGUAAGUUAUAGAGGGCUCAGGUAUACCAGGCUGGCAACUGAUGGAUAAACGGCAUUAUGCUAAAAUACAAUUUUGGAUUUCAUAUUAAAGUAUCUCUAGAUACCCAGGAAUACCUUAGAGGAGGAAUGGCUUCUGACCAGGGCUGGGACCUACUCUUAGUUGUUAGUGUCCUUAUGAUAGUUGCAAACCAGAAAGGAGUCAGGUUUUCUUGAGUGUGGAAACUCCUAGAGGGAAAACUGAACGAAGAGUCGAUGACAAGCCAAUACACCCAUUUUUAAUGCUCAAGAAGUAAACUAGCCAGGCACAAUGGCAUGUGCCUAUAAUCCCAGCUACUUGGCAGGCUGAGGGAGGAGGUUCCCUUGGGUCCAGGUGUCCCAGACCAGCUUGGGCAACAUUUGGAGACUUCUGUCUCAACAAGAACAACAAAGUCAACUAGCUAAAUUGGAUGUAAUGACUAACAGUAAAGCAUCCAUCUUGUUUGAUUAACAAAAGAGAUCUUUAACGAAAAGGUUUUAAGAACAUUUUCGCAAAGAGGAAAUGACAGCUCUCCAGCGUAUAGGAUAUUCAAUAAAGGAUGUAAGAGAACUGUUUAUCCAUUUGAAAAUUAAAGUUAUAUAUCCAUGUCGUACCACAUGCAAAACACAGCUGCCAGCUAAAUAUUUAAUGUUUAAAGUAUUUUAAAAAUCAAGAAAAUAUAAGCAAGUAUUUAUAUAACCUAGGGGAUGAAAACCUUUCUAAGCAUGACACCAAGGAAGAAACCAAAGAUAAGAAGAUGGAUUUGGCAAUAAAAAGAAAACUUAGAGGUGGCAAAAACACUAAGCAGUAAAAUGAGAAAAUACAUUUGCAACAUACUUUCUCUUUAAUUUGAAGGGCUAAUUUUCUCAAUAUAAAGAAUUUUUAGAAAUUAGUAAGAAAUUCCAACAUCCAACAGAAAUAUAGGUUAAGGAAAAAUAUAAUUUACUAAAGGAAUGUAUCGCUAAAUACAUUUAAAAAGCUCAGCAGUAAUAACACAAAUGAUACUGAUUUUUUACCUAUUAUUAAAAAUACUGCAACUUAUGGUGUCAACAUUGUCAUAUUAAAAAAAAAAAACAACAAACACAGGCCGGGUGCAGUGGCUCAUGCCUGUAAUCCUGGCACUUUGGGAGGCCGAGGCAGGUGGAUCACCUGAGGUCAGGAGUUCUAGACUACCCUGGCCAACAUGGUGAAACCCUGUUUCUACUAAAAAUACAAAAAUUAGCUGGGCAUGGUGGUGCACGCCUGUAAUGCCAGCUACUUGGGUGGCUGAGGCAGGAGAAUCACUUGAAUCCGGGAGGCAG